RNAcentral lists this ribosomal RNA (492 nucleotides) under uncultured bacterium. Its description in RNAcentral is "partial 16S ribosomal RNA". It matches the Rfam family "Bacterial small subunit ribosomal RNA", at positions 29 to 507 of the family's 1533-position model. The record is from RNAcentral.
AGUGAACGCUGGCGGUAGGCCUAACACAUGCGAGUCGAACGGCAGCACAGUAAGAGCUUGCUCUUACGGGUGGCGAGUGGCGGACGGGUGAGGAAUACAUCGGAAUCUACUUUUUCGUGGGGGAUAACGUAGGGAAACUUACGCUAAUACCGCAUACGACCUACGGGUGAAAGCAGGGGAUCUUCGGACCUUGCGCGAUUGAAUGAGCCGAUGUCGGAUUAGCUAGUUGGUGGGGUAAAGGCCCACCAAGGCGACGAUCCGUAGCUGGUCUGAGAGGAUGAUCAGCCACACUGGAACUGAGACACGGUCCAGACUCCUACGGGAGGCAGCAGUGGGGAAUAUUGGACAAUGGGCGCAAGCCUGAUCCAGCCAUACCGCGUGGGUGAAGAAGGCCUUCGGGUUGUAAAGCCCUUUUGUUGGGAAAGAAAAGCAGCAGGUUAAUACCCCGCUGUUCUGACGGUACCCAAAGAAUAAGCACCGGCUAACUUCGUG